This 1009-nucleotide ribosomal RNA is filed under the name uncultured bacterium. RNAcentral's name for it is "bacterial SSU rRNA". It matches the Rfam family "Bacterial small subunit ribosomal RNA", at positions 61 to 1061 of the family's 1533-position model. The record is from RNAcentral.
GUCGAACGGCAGCACGGAGCUUGCUCUGGUGGCGAGUGGCGAACGGGUGAGUAAUAUAUCGGAACGUACCCUAGAGUGGGGGAUAACGUAGCGAAAGUUACGCUAAUACCGCAUACGAUCUAAGGAUGAAAGUGGGGGAUCGCAAGACCUCAUGCUCGUGGAGCGGCCGAUAUCUGAUUAGCUAGUUGGUAGGGUAAAAGCCUACCAAGGCAUCGAUCAGUAGCUGGUCUGAGAGGACGACCAGCCACACUGGAACUGAGACACGGUCCAGACUCCUACGGGAGGCAGCAGUGGGGAAUUUUGGACAAUGGGCGAAAGCCUGAUCCAGCAAUGCCGCGUGAGUGAAGAAGGCCUUCGGGUUGUAAAGCUCUUUUGUCAGGGAAGAAACGGUGAGAGCUAAUAUCUUUUGCUAAUGACGGUACCUGAAGAAUAAGCACCGGCUAACUACGUGCCAGCAGCCGCGGUAAUACGUAGGGUGCAAGCGUUAAUCGGAAUUACUGGGCGUAAAGCGUGCGCAGGCGGUUUUGUAAGUCUGAUGUGAAAUCCCCGGGCUCAACCUGGGAAUUGCAUUGGAGACUGCAAGGCUAGAAUCUGGCAGAGGGGGGGUAGAAUUCCACGUGUAGCAGUGAAAUGCGUAGAUAUGUGGAGGAACACCGAUGGCGAAGGCAGCCCCCUGGGUCAAGAUUGACGCUCAUGCACGAAAGCGUGGGGAGCAAACAGGAUUAGAUACCCUGGUAGUCCACGCCCUAAACGAUGUCUACUAGUUGUCGGGUCUUAAUUGACUUGGUAACGCAGCUAACGCGUGAAGUAGACCGCCUGGGGGAGUACGGUCGCAAGAUUAAAACUCAAAGGAAUUGACGGGGACCCGCACAAGCGGUGGAUGAAGUUGGAUUAAUUCGAUGCAACGCGAAAAACCUUACCUACCCUUGACAUGGCUGGAAUCCUUGAGAGAUCAGGGAGUGCUCGAAAGAGAACCAGUACACAGGUGCUGCAUGGCUGUCGUCAGCUC